RNAcentral lists this ribosomal RNA (408 nucleotides) under uncultured bacterium. RNAcentral describes it as "partial 16S ribosomal RNA". It matches the Rfam family "Bacterial small subunit ribosomal RNA", at positions 28 to 526 of the family's 1533-position model. The record is from RNAcentral.
GACGAACGCUGGCGGCGUGCCUAAUACAUGCAAGUCGAGCGCAGCGACGGAUGGGUGAGUAACGCGUGGGUAACCUGUCAUUAAGUCUGGAAUACCAUUUGGAAACAGAUGCUCAUAACGAAUACUAAAGGAUGGACCUGCGAUGCAUUAGCUAGUUGGUAAGGUACGGGCCUACAAAGGCGAUGAUGCAUAUCGGAGUUGAGAGAGUGAGCGGCCACAUUGGGACUGAGACACGGCCCAGACUCCUACGGGAGGCAGCAGUAGGGAAUCUUCAACAAUGGACGAAAGUCUGAUGGAGCAACGCCGCGUGAGUGAAGAAGGUUUUCGGAUCGUAAAGCUCUGUUGUUGGAGAAGCGGUAAUCAACCAGAAAGUCACGGCUAACUACGUGCCAGCAGCCGCGGUAAUAC